UUAAAAAUUUCAACAACGGGAUCUCUUGUGUUCGUGGCAUUGCAUGAAUAACGGAACUCAACUGCAUAUAAGUAAUGUGAAUUGCACAAUCUCGGUGAAUCAACGAAUCGUUGAACGCAAAUUGCGCCCUCUGGUAUUCCGGGGGGCGUGCCUGUUCCAGCGUCA
RNAcentral lists this ribosomal RNA (165 nucleotides) under Cadophora sp. Js_4025. Its description in RNAcentral is "5.8S ribosomal RNA". It matches the Rfam family "5.8S ribosomal RNA". Rfam says of the family: 5.8S ribosomal RNA (5.8S rRNA) is a component of the large subunit of the eukaryotic ribosome. The record is from RNAcentral. Lineage: Eukaryota; Fungi; Ascomycota; Leotiomycetes; Helotiales; Ploettnerulaceae.